Molecule: non-coding RNA, 57 nt
Filed under: Mus musculus (house mouse)
Lineage: Eukaryota; Metazoa; Chordata; Mammalia; Rodentia; Muridae
Also listed under: 1 other name
Source: miRBase by way of RNAcentral
UUGAGGGUGCAUAAGGACUGGAACCUGCUGAGAGCUCCAGGCCUCUUGCUCUCUCAC